Molecule: ribosomal RNA, 292 nt
Filed under: uncultured bacterium
Lineage: Bacteria
Description: partial 16S ribosomal RNA
Rfam family: Bacterial small subunit ribosomal RNA
Source: RNAcentral
GUGCCAGCAGCCGCGGUAAUACGUAGGUGGCAAGCGUUGUCCGGAUUUACUGGGCGUAAAGCGCGCGUAGGCGGAACUUCAAGUCCGGUCUGAAAGCCCCCGGCUCAACCGGGGAGGGUGGCUGGAAACUGGGGUUCUUGAGGGCGAGAGAGGAGGGUGGAAUUCCUGGUGUAGCGGUGAAAUGCGUAGAUAUCAGGAGGAACACCGGUGGCGAAGGCGCACACCUGGCCCGAUACUGACGCUGAGGCGCGAAAGCUAGGGGAGCAAACGGGAUUAGAAACCCUAGUAGUCC